GAUGAACGCUGGCGGCGUGCCUAAUACAUGCAAGUCGAGCGAACGGACGAGAAGCUUGCUUCUCUGAUGUUAGCGGCGGACGGGUGAGUAACACGUGGAUAACCUACCUAUAAGACUGGGAUAACUUCGGGAAACCGGAGCUAAUACCGGAUAAUAUUUUGAACCGCAUGGUUCAAAAGUGAAAGACGGUCUUGCUGUCACUUAUAGAUGGAUCCGCGCUGCAUUAGCUAGUUGGUAAGGUAACGGCUUACCAAGGCAACGAUGCAUAGCCGACCUGAGAGGGUGAUCGGCCACACUGGAACUGAGACACGGUCCAGACUCCUACGGGAGGCAGCAGUAGGGAAUCUUCCGCAAUGGGCGAAAGCCUGACGGAGCAACGCCGCGUGAGUGAUGAAGGUCUUCGGAUCGUAAAACUCUGUUAUUAGGGAAGAACAUAUGUGUAAGUAACUGUGCACAUCUUGACGGUACCUAAUCAGAAAGCCAUGGCUAACUACGUGCCAGCAGCCGCGGUAAUACGUAGGUGGCAAGCGUUAUCCGGAAUUAUUGGGCGUAAAGCGCGCGUAGGCGGUUUUUUAAGUCUGAUGUGAAAGCCCACGGCUCAACCGUGGAGGGUCAUUGGAAACUGGAAAACUUGAGUGCAGAAGAGGAAAGUGGAAUUCCAUGUGUAGCGGUGAAAUGCGCAGAGAUAUGGAGGAACACCAGUGGCGAAGGCGACUUUCUGGUCUGUAACUGACGCUGAUGUGCGAAAGCGUGGGGAUCAAACAGGAUUAGAUACCCUGGUAGUCCACGCCGUAAACGAUGAGUGCUAAGUGUUAGGGGGUUUCCGCCCCUUAGUGCUGCAGCUAACGCAUUAAGCGCUCCGCCUGGGGAGUACGACCGCAAGGUUGAAACUCAAAGGAAUUGACGGGGACCCGCACAAGCGGUGGAGCAUGUGGUUUAAUUCGAAGCAACGCGAAGAACCUUACCAAAUCUUGACAUCCUUUGACAACUCUAGAGAUAGAGCCUUCCCCUUCGGGGGACAAAGUGACAGGUGGUGCAUGGUCGUCGUCAGCUCGUGUCGUGAGAUGUUGGGUUAAGUCCCGCAACGAGCGCAACCCUUAAGCUUAGUUGCCAUCAUUAAGUUGGGCACUCUAAGUUGACUGCCGGUGACAAACCGGAGGAAGGUGGGGAUGACGUCAAAUCAUCAUGCCCCUUAUGAUUUGGGCUACACACGUGCUACAAUGGACAAUACAAAGGGCAGCGAAACCGCGAGGUCAAGCAAAUCCCAUAAAGUUGUUCUCAGUUCGGAUUGUAGUCUGCAACUCGACUACAUGAAGCUGGAAUCGCUAGUAAUCGUAGAUCAGCAUGCUACGGUGAAUACGUUCCCGGGUCU
This 1372-nucleotide ribosomal RNA is filed under the name uncultured bacterium. RNAcentral describes it as "bacterial SSU rRNA". It matches the Rfam family "Bacterial small subunit ribosomal RNA", at positions 28 to 1381 of the family's 1533-position model. The record is from RNAcentral.